UUCCUUUUAUUACCAUCUCACCUUCACAAGACAUGAGACAUGGGUAAGAUUUCCCUUAUUACCAUCUCACCUUCACAAGACAUGGGUAAGAUUUCCCUUAUUACCAUCUCACCUUCACAAGACAUGGGUAAGAAUUUUCCCUAAUUACCAUCUCACCUUCACAGGACAUGGGACAUGGGUAAGAUUUCCCUUAUUACCAUCUCACCUUCCCAAGACAUGGGUAAGAAUUCCCUUAUUACCAUCUCACCUUCAAAAGACAUGGGUAAGAUUUCCCUUAUUACCAUCUCACCUUCACAAGACAUGGGUAAGAAUUUUGCCAAUGACCAUCUCUUCAAAGUUUAUUGAUACGCACUCUAACAAUAGUAAAUAAUUUUGUGUUAAUUUCUUCUC
Molecule: long non-coding RNA, 390 nt
Organism: Xenia sp. Carnegie-2017
Lineage: Eukaryota; Metazoa; Cnidaria; Anthozoa; Malacalcyonacea; Xeniidae
Exons: 2
Source: RefSeq, a predicted model, not a curated record